RNAcentral lists this unclassified non-coding RNA (19 nucleotides) under Chlamydomonas reinhardtii. RNAcentral's name for it is "small RNA Cre_3007". The record is from RNAcentral. Lineage: Eukaryota; Viridiplantae; Chlorophyta; Chlorophyceae; Chlamydomonadales; Chlamydomonadaceae.
UGCAGAGCAUGGACGACGU